RNAcentral lists this ribosomal RNA (439 nucleotides) under uncultured bacterium. Its description in RNAcentral is "partial 16S ribosomal RNA". It matches the Rfam family "Bacterial small subunit ribosomal RNA", at positions 339 to 795 of the family's 1533-position model. The record is from RNAcentral.
CUACGGGCUGCAGCAGUGGGGAAUAUUGCACAAUGGGGGAAACCCUGAUGCAGCAACACCGCGUGGAGGAUGACACUUUUCGGAGCGUAAACUCCUUUUAUAUAGGAAGAUAAUGACGGUACUAUAUGAAUAAGCACCGGCUAACUCCGUGCCAGCAGCCGCGGUAAUACGGAGGGUGCAAGCGUUACUCGGAAUCACUGGGCGUAAAGAGCGUGUAGGCGGGUUAAUAAGUCAGAAGUGAAAUCCAAUGGCUCAACCAUUGAACUGCUUUUGAAACUGUUAACCUAGAAUAUGGGAGAGGUAGAUGGAAUUUCUGGUGUAGGGGUAAAAUCCGUAGAGAUCAGAAGGAAUACCGAUUGCGAAGGCGAUCUACUGGAACAUUAUUGACGCUGAGACGCGAAAGCGUGGGGAGCAAACAGGAUUAGAUACCCCAGUAGUC